This 90-nucleotide transfer RNA is filed under the name Candidatus Methanoperedentaceae archaeon. RNAcentral's name for it is "tRNA-Leu". It matches the Rfam family "tRNA". From Rfam's summary of the family: Transfer RNA (tRNA) molecules are approximately 80 nucleotides in length. Their secondary structure includes four short double-helical elements and three loops (D, anti-codon, and T loops). Further hydrogen bonds mediate the characteristic L-shaped molecular structure. tRNAs have two regions of fundamental functional importance: the anti-codon, which is responsible for specific mRNA codon recognition, and the 3' end, to which the tRNAs corresponding amino acid is attached (by aminoacyl-tRNA synthetases). tRNAs cope with the degeneracy of the genetic code in two manners: having more than one tRNA (with a specific anti-codon) for a particular amino acid; and 'wobble' base-pairing, i.e. permitting non-standard base-pairing at the 3rd anti-codon position. The record is from RNAcentral. Lineage: Archaea; Methanobacteriati; Methanobacteriota; Methanomicrobia; Methanosarcinales; Candidatus Methanoperedentaceae.
GCCGGCGUGGCAGAGAUUGGCCAAACGCGACCGACUUAAGAUCGGUUCAUCCCGCCCGGAUGUCGUUGGGUUCAAAUCCCACCGCCGGCG